Molecule: unclassified non-coding RNA, 208 nt
Filed under: Hevea brasiliensis (rubber tree)
Lineage: Eukaryota; Viridiplantae; Streptophyta; Magnoliopsida; Malpighiales; Euphorbiaceae
Source: RNAcentral
CACAACUCCACUGUCUCCUCUUUUCCUCUCUUUAAUUUAAACAACUAGUUUCUAAAAGAGAUUUUCUCCGCAUUAGUUUUUGUUUGUUGGUGUCUAUAUUUUCAUCCAAAAUCAUGCCUGCCGGAGGUUUCUCGGCCAAGCCGGCCGGAGGGGUGGAGUUCGAGGCGAAGAUAACGCCGAUCGUCAUCAUUUCCUGCAUAAUGGCUGC